UACGGAGGAUCCGAGCGUUAUCCGGAUUUAUUGGGUUUAAAGGGUGCGUAGGCGGUUUGAUAAGUUAGAGGUGAAAUGUCGGGGCUCAACCCCGAAACUGCCUCUAAUACUGUUGGACUAGAGAAUAGUUGCGGUAGGCGGAAUGUAUGGUGUAGCGGUGAAAUGCUUAGAGAUCAUACAGAACACCGAUUGUGAAGGCAGCUUACCAAACUAUAUCUGACGUUGAGGCACGAAAGCGUGGGUAGCAAACAGG
RNAcentral lists this ribosomal RNA (253 nucleotides) under uncultured bacterium. Its description in RNAcentral is "partial 16S ribosomal RNA". It matches the Rfam family "Bacterial small subunit ribosomal RNA", at positions 524 to 776 of the family's 1533-position model. The record is from RNAcentral.